This 414-nucleotide unclassified non-coding RNA is filed under the name Cephalotheca foveolata. RNAcentral's name for it is "sequence contains 18S rRNA gene, ITS1, 5.8S rRNA gene, 28S rRNA gene". The stretch from base 112 to 265 matches the Rfam family "5.8S ribosomal RNA". Lineage: Eukaryota; Fungi; Ascomycota; Sordariomycetes; Cephalothecales; Cephalothecaceae. The record is from RNAcentral.
GCGGGCGGCCCCAGGGGGGGCCGUAGCCUCCCUCAGGGGAGGUGCCCGCCGGAGGACACACAAACUAUACUUGAAUUAUUGGCCCUUCUGAGAACAAGCUUCAAUAAUCAAAACUUUCAACAACGGAUCUCUUGGUUCUGGCAUCGAUGAAGAACGCAGCGAAAUGCGAUAAGUAAUGUGAAUUGCAGACUUCAGUGAAUCAUCGAAUCUUUGAACGCACAUUGCGCCCGCCAGCAUUCUGGCGGGCAUGCCUGUCCGAGCGUCAUUUCAACCCUCAAGCUCAGCUUGGUGUUGGGGCACUACGGCUCAGCCGUAGGCCCUGAAAUUUAGUGGCGGGCUCUCUGGGAGUCCGGGCGUAGUAGCAAUAUGUCGCCCGCGGUCCCCGGAGCGCUCCGGCCGUUAACUCCCAAAUUU